AUGAAUACGAAGCAUUCAUCUUUCCCAAAGAACCUCUGUCAAUCUGAAAGUGUUGGGUCAUGUGUAUACAGUAGCUCGCGGAUUGUACCACUUUAUCAUUGCGAGACAAAGUUGUUCUUCGUAGGGCAACCACUGAGAAGAAUUAUGGAAAGAAAUUUUGGGAUUGUCACAAUUACAAGGGCUUCUUGCAAAGAGGAUUUGACUUCUCUCAUUGGUGUCACGAGGAAUUGGCAGUGGAAUUGA
Non-coding RNA from Vicia faba (fava bean), 243 nucleotides. NCBI's taxonomy places the organism in Eukaryota, Viridiplantae, Streptophyta, Magnoliopsida, Fabales, Fabaceae. The record is from the annotation of a GenBank genome assembly.